Equus caballus (horse) is the source of this 1669-nucleotide non-coding RNA. Lineage: Eukaryota; Metazoa; Chordata; Mammalia; Perissodactyla; Equidae. The record is from RefSeq and is a predicted model, not a curated record.
GCAGAUGUUAGCUUAGGGCUAGUCUUCCUCAAAAACAAAAGAAAAAAAAAUUCUGUUUGUCUUCAGGUGUCUGCAGUUUUACUGUGAUAUGUUUAGAUGUGGUUUCCUUUUUGUUUAUCUUCCCUGGAGUUCAUUAGGCUUCUUGAAUCUGUAGAUGGAUAUGGUUCACCUUUCUGGAGAAGAUUCACACAGAAUCCCUUCAAAUACAGGCUCUGCCAAUGCUCUCUCCUCUCCUUCUGGAACCUUCUUACUCUGCCCUGAAGUUCUCUUAUCCUCUUUUCCCUGUUUUCCAUCUUUCUCUCUCUCUCAUUGUAUGUAACACCUUCUGACUUAUCUUCCAGGUCUGUCCUUUUCACUUCUCUGUUCAGUCUGCUUUAAAACCCAUUUUACUGAAAUAUUAAUUUGGAUUAUUUCAUUUUUUCAUCUAUAGAAGUUUUAUUUGGUUCCUUGACAAAUCUGUUAUUUCACUUGUUAUAGUUUCCCUGAAGAUAUUUUUAAGAUUGUCAUAUUUUUUAGACAAUUAUGAUUAAAAAUAGUCUAUUUCUAAUAACUCUAGCAUUUAAAGACUUUGGGGGCUAGUUUAUGAUGGGUUUUCUGCCACUUUUUGUUCGUUGCUUCUUAUUUCCUUGUGUGCUAAUGUAUCUUUGAUUUUGUGCUACUUUUUUCCCUUGAAAAUUUUCUGUGUGAGAUUUUCCAGACACCUAGGAUAAAGAAGACUUCCUCCAGAGAGAUUUGCACUUGCAACUGCCAAGCACCUGGGUAGGAGGAAUCUGUAACCAUCUAAAAUUUCCAUCCUAGGUCAUUGUAAUCCCGGGAAACGAUUUAUCCAGCACAAGCACAGGUGCCAUCCCUCACUCUUCUGCUGUGGCCCAGCUGCUGACAUCUGCUAUUUCUCUCAGUCUGACGCAAAGAUAACUGGCUGAGCUGCGGACACGGCCUGAAGGUUUUGAGUGUGAAUGUGAUUGAUUACCCGGCUAAAUCCUGGUUACUAAAUGUUUGGACUCACUAAGUUCUAAAAACGUGAAACCUGAAUACAAAAGGAAACCAUAACACGGCUCAGCUUUUUAUAAUGCUGGGUGCUGUCAGCUAUGUAUGUAACAUGGAAAAGAGUAUGAUGGAAAGACAAGAUCACUUUUUUCUACUUGGAGAAUAAAAUAGGUUUACAAAGGAAAAAGGUAAAACUGCGUGCCAUAUGAUCCCAAGAUUGUUAAAGAAAAAUAAGCCUUGAAGGGAAUACAUCAAAGUGUCAAGAGCUAUCAGGACUCUGUCCAUCGCUGGCUGGAGUGUUUGGUACAAACUCCAUCGAAAACAAUUUGGCAAUACCUAUCAAAAUUAUAAAUUCACAUACCUUUUGAUGCAGCAAUUCCAUUUCUAAAGGUAUUUUAUGAUAUGCUGGCACACUUGCAAGAUAAUGUGCAAGCUUACUAAUGCAGUAUAGUGUGGAACAGCUUAAAAAUAAAUUAAAACAUCCAUCAGGGAGAAGUUGUUAAAUAAUUAUGAUAUUUGACUGAAUAUUAUGCAGCUCUAAGAUAGAAAGAUAAAACUCUUUAUGAAUUCAUAUGGAAUAAUCUCCAAAAUAUAUUAAGUGAAAAAACUUAGAUACGUAUGUAUUAACUGGUUUGUAUUUUCUAUGCCACUAUUUACUUCAAAUAAAAGAAGGGAGAAGGAA